GGGAAGGUUGAGUGCUGCUGUGUGGAGC
Molecule: non-coding RNA, 28 nt
Filed under: Homo sapiens (human)
Lineage: Eukaryota; Metazoa; Chordata; Mammalia; Primates; Hominidae
Source: RNAcentral